This 359-nucleotide long non-coding RNA is filed under the name Zostera marina. RNAcentral describes it as "long non-coding RNA (ZMAR_LNC002467)". Lineage: Eukaryota; Viridiplantae; Streptophyta; Magnoliopsida; Alismatales; Zosteraceae. The record is from RNAcentral.
UCAAGAUAAAUCUUACAAUAACAAGGAACCAUCAAGGGAUGAACUCCAGAUCUCGCCGGUCGAGGCGCCAUCGGAAUCUUCAGCGCCAAAUUCCCUACCGAAACCCGCACGAACUGACACGGGUCCAUUUUGGUAGUGGGUUUGUUUUCUUUUCUUUUUUCUUCUUUUCUGGUAGUUGUGGAUUGAGUGGGUGCGAUCGUGGUUUGAUUUAUACAGAUGGAGCAGAACGACAGAACUGUAUUAUGAAGUUGCACAGGCUGGCUGGAAGUGAUGGAAGGAAAUAUCGAGCUGGUUCUUCCUUGGAUCCGCACGUACGCGAGGUAUAUGGAGGAGAAAACCAGAGGAGGAAGAAGAACGUA